UUGCCUACGGGACGCAGCAGUGGGGGAUAUUGCACAAUGGGGGGAACCCUGAUGCAGCGACGCCGCGUGGGUGAAGAAGCGCCUCGGCGCGUAAAGCCCUGUCAGCAGGGAAGAAAAUGACGGUACCUGAAGAAGAAGCCCCGGCUAACUACGUGCCAGCAGCCGCGGUAAUACGUAGGGGGCAAGCGUUAUCCGGAUUUACUGGGUGUAAAGGGCGUGCAGCCGGAGAGACAAGUCAGAUGUGAAAUCCACAGGCUCAACCUGUGAACUGCAUUUGAAACUGUUUCCCUUGAGUAUCGGAGAGG
RNAcentral lists this ribosomal RNA (305 nucleotides) under uncultured bacterium. RNAcentral describes it as "bacterial SSU rRNA". It matches the Rfam family "Bacterial small subunit ribosomal RNA", at positions 335 to 657 of the family's 1533-position model. The record is from RNAcentral.